GAAAAAUUAUGAUUUAAUUUAAAAAUUAAGUUAAGUUGCUUUGAUUUUUAUAUUUAUAUUGGUCUAGAGGGUAUAGUAAGUAGUAAUUAAUUUUAUAUUAUUUAUUAAUUGUAAGAUAUAGCAAUAGCUUUUUAUUCUAACAAAUGUUUGUGCCAGCAGUUGCGGUUACACAAAAGGGGUAACUUAAUUUUUACGGUUUUAGUUAAUUAUUUCAAAAUCUUGAAAUUUUAUAUUGAGAGGUGAAAUUUUAAUGUAAAGAUUGAAUUGAUAGGUUAAAUGAUCUAGAAAAAUUUAUUUAUAAACCAGGAUUAGAUACCCUGUUAUUUAAAUUGUAAUAAGGAGAACCGGAUUAGUAUUAGUUAAGUGCUUCAAAAUUAAAUGUCUUGGCGGUAUUUUAACCUUUCAGAGGAGCCUGUCCUGUAAUUGAUAAUUCACAAUUUAUUUUACUUUUAUAAUUGUUUGUAUAUCGUUGUUAAAAUGAAUAUUUCUUAAGAAAUAGAAUUUUCUUUAUAUAAAAUUUUAUUUUAAAUCAAAUCAAGGUGCAGCUUUUAAAAGAAGAGAUGGGCUACAUUUAUAAGUUUAAAUUUGUAAAUUUUAUUUUUUUAGGAUUUGGCAGUAAUUAUAUUUAUUAAAAUAUAAUGAAUCAGGCUCUAGAAUAUGUACAUAUCGCCCGUCGCUUUCAUAUUUUUAUGAAAUAAGUCGUAACACAGUAGAUUUAUCGGAAGAUGAUUCUGGAAUGGC
Molecule: non-coding RNA, 741 nt
Filed under: Cryptocephalus bipunctatus
Lineage: Eukaryota; Metazoa; Arthropoda; Insecta; Coleoptera; Chrysomelidae
Source: RNAcentral